RNAcentral lists this small RNA (637 nucleotides) under Pongo abelii (Sumatran orangutan). RNAcentral's name for it is "retained intron". The record is from RNAcentral. Lineage: Eukaryota; Metazoa; Chordata; Mammalia; Primates; Hominidae.
CUGCAAACUUGCAAGGUUUAUUUUAAAUACACAUUACAGUGUUUUAUAUUAUGUAAUUCUAAGUUGUAAUUCAGCUUUUAACAAAUCUUUUUUUAGGUAGUAAAAAAAAAAAUACUCAACAACUAAUAGGCCCAGAGUUUAUUUCCAAAUGAGACACUAAAUUUAAAUAGUUUUGAGAUUUGAUUUCAGCAGAGGCACACAAACUCUUAAAAACGAGUUAUUGUCUGACAUUUUGUUUUUUCUCUAACUUGAAAAAUAGGUCACGGUCUAGAUCACAUUCUCGAUCCAGAGGAAGGCGAUACUCUCGCUCACGCAGCAGGAGCAGAGGACGAAGGUCAAGGUCAGCAUCUCCUCGACGAUCAAGAUCUAUCUCUCUUCGUAGAUCAAGAUCAGCUUCACUCAGAAGAUCUAGAUCCCCGUCGAGGUCAAGAUCAAGAUCCAGGUCUAUUUCACGACCAAGAAGCAGCCGAUCAAAGUCCAGAUCUCCAUCUCCAAAACGAAGUCGUUCCCCAUCAGGAAGUCCUCGAAGAAGUGCAAGUCCUGAAAGAAUGGACUGAAGCUCUCAAGUUCACCCUUUAGGGAAAAGUUAUUUUGUUUACAUUAUUAUAAGGGAUUUGUGAUGUCUGUAAAGUGUAAC